RNAcentral lists this ribosomal RNA (517 nucleotides) under Nutricola tantilla. Its description in RNAcentral is "partial large subunit ribosomal RNA". It matches the Rfam family "Bacterial large subunit ribosomal RNA", at positions 1818 to 2597 of the family's 2925-position model. Lineage: Eukaryota; Metazoa; Mollusca; Bivalvia; Venerida; Veneridae. The record is from RNAcentral.
GCUUUUUGUUUUUUAAUGUAAAAAGUCUUACCUGCCCGGUGAUUAUGUAAUUUAACGGCCGCAGUUGUCCUGUGCUAAGGUAGCGCAAUAAGUUGCCCUUUAAUUGGGGGAUAGAAUGAAUGGUUUUUCAUAGAUAUGCUGUCUUUAUAGUAAUGUACAAAAUUUUUUUGUAAGUGAAAAAGCUUAGAUUUUUGUAAAAGAAGAGAAGACCCUAUCGAACUUAAUUAGAUAUUAAGUUAUUAUGCUGUUUUCUUUUCAUUGUAACUUUAGAAUGGUUGAUUAUAAGGUGUUUCUUAUUAUUGAAAUUUUACUGGGGAAGUAAGAGUUAAAAAAGAACAGCUCUUUUUUAUAGAAAUCCUGUUAGACAGAAAAAAGCAAAAGUUACCGUAGGGAUAACAGCGUAAUAUUUUCCUGAAAGAUCUUAUUAAUGGAAUUGUGUGCGACCUCGAUGUUGAAUUAAAGAAACUCUCUGGUUGCAGAAGCUAGUGAAGUGAGACUGUUCGUCUUUUAAACCUUU